RNAcentral lists this ribosomal RNA (403 nucleotides) under Trimeresurus stejnegeri (Stejneger's pit viper). Its description in RNAcentral is "partial 12S ribosomal RNA". The record is from RNAcentral. Lineage: Eukaryota; Metazoa; Chordata; Lepidosauria; Squamata; Viperidae.
CCAUAACAUACAAUCAAAUUACGAAUUGUUCGCCAAACAACUACGAGUAAUACUUAAAACUUAAAAGACUUGACGGUACUUCACCCCGACCUAGAGGAGCCUGUCUAUUAACCGACAAUCCACGAUUAACCCAACCACUUCUUGCCUAACAGUCUAUAUACCGCCGUCGCCAGCUUACCUUGUAAAAGAAAUAAAGUGAGCUAAACAGUAACACACUAAAACGACAGGUCGAGGUGUAACUUAUGAAGCGGGCCAAGAUGGGCUACAUUCUCCAACAGAGAAUACGAACAACACUAUGAAAUUAAUGUUUGAAGGCGGAUUUAGCAGUAAGAUGAGAACAAAACACUCAACUGAACACAACGCAAUGAAGUGCGCACACACCGCCCGUCAUCCCUGCCACCAC